RNAcentral lists this transfer RNA (63 nucleotides) under Pseudoniphargus sp. 1-Basque. Its description in RNAcentral is "tRNA-Gly". The record is from RNAcentral. Lineage: Eukaryota; Metazoa; Arthropoda; Malacostraca; Amphipoda; Allocrangonyctidae.
UGAACCUUAAGUUAUGUAAACUAAGAGCCCUCCAAGUUCUACAAAAGAAAUUCUUAGGUUUAA